This 74-nucleotide transfer RNA is filed under the name Pyronema omphalodes. RNAcentral's name for it is "tRNA-Met". Lineage: Eukaryota; Fungi; Ascomycota; Pezizomycetes; Pezizales; Pyronemataceae. The record is from RNAcentral.
ACCAAGAUAGUUCAAUAGGUUAGAACGUUUAUUUCAUGCAUAAAAGGUUGAGAAUUCGAAUUUCUCUCUUGGUU